GUGGGGAAUCUUGCGCAAUGGGCGAAAGCCUGACGCAGCCAUGCCGCGUGGAUGAUGAAGGUCUUAGGAUUGUAAAAUCCUUUCACCGGUGAAGAUAAUGACUGUAGCCGGAGAAGAAGCCCCGGCUAACUUCGUGCCAGCAGCCGCGGUAAUACGAAGGGGGCUAGCGUUGCUCGGAAUUACUGGGCGUAAAGGGAGCGUAGGCGGACAUUUAAGUCAGGGGUGAAAUCCCGAGGCUCAACUUCGGAGCUGCCUUUGGUACUGGGUGUCUUGAGUGUGAGAGGGGUGAGUGGAACUCCGAGUGUAGAGGUGAAAUUCGUAGAUAUUCGGAGGAACGCCAGUGGCGAAGGCGGCUCACUGGCUCGAUACUGACGCUGAGGUGCGAAAGCGUGGGGAGCAAACAGGAUUAGAAACCCGUGUAGUCC
This 425-nucleotide ribosomal RNA is filed under the name uncultured bacterium. RNAcentral's name for it is "partial 16S ribosomal RNA". It matches the Rfam family "Bacterial small subunit ribosomal RNA", at positions 354 to 796 of the family's 1533-position model. The record is from RNAcentral.